Molecule: non-coding RNA, 86 nt
Organism: Scheffersomyces amazonensis
Lineage: Eukaryota; Fungi; Ascomycota; Pichiomycetes; Serinales; Debaryomycetaceae
Source: the annotation of a RefSeq genome assembly
GGGAGUGUGGUCUAGUGGUAUGAUUCUCGCUUUGGGUUAAUUCACAAGCAUGCGAGAGGCCCAGGGUUCAAUUCCCUGCUCUCCCC